UACGGAAGAUGCGAGCGUUAUCCGGAUUUAUUGGGUUUAAAGGGAGCGUAGGCGGACUCUUAAGUCUGCGGUAAAAUGUCGGCGCCCAACGCCGUCCCGCCGUGGAAACUGGGAGUCUUGAAUGUGCACAGGGAAGGUGGAAUUCGUGGUGUAGCGGUGAAAUGCUUAGAUAUCACGAAGAACUCCGAUGGCGAAGGCAUCCUUCUGGGGCACGAUUGACGCUGAGGCUCGAAAGCGCGGGUAUCAAACA
RNAcentral lists this ribosomal RNA (250 nucleotides) under uncultured prokaryote. RNAcentral's name for it is "partial 16S ribosomal RNA". It matches the Rfam family "Bacterial small subunit ribosomal RNA", at positions 524 to 774 of the family's 1533-position model. The record is from RNAcentral.